Molecule: non-coding RNA, 216 nt
Organism: Ceratotherium simum simum (southern white rhinoceros)
Lineage: Eukaryota; Metazoa; Chordata; Mammalia; Perissodactyla; Rhinocerotidae
Source: RefSeq, a predicted model, not a curated record
GACCCUGCGGGGCACGGCCGGCCCGGGAACGGGUCGGGGGAGGUCGGGAGCGCGUCCGUGAGCCCGGAGCGGCGGCGGCGUCGGUGGCGUUGGGAGCGAGCGGGCCGGGUGCGGCGCGGGUGGUGGAGGAGUAGCCCGGGGCUCGGUAAGCGGUGCCGGCCUGGUCCUGUCCCCGAACCUGGCCAACCCCUAUUCUCUAACCAUGGCACAAGUAGA